RNAcentral lists this ribosomal RNA (1521 nucleotides) under Fibrobacterales bacterium. RNAcentral's name for it is "bacterial SSU rRNA". It matches the Rfam family "Bacterial small subunit ribosomal RNA". The record is from RNAcentral. Lineage: Bacteria; Pseudomonadati; Fibrobacterota; Fibrobacteria; Fibrobacterales.
UAUGAAGAGUUUGAUCCUGGCUCAGAACGAACGCUGGUGGCGUGUCUGAUGCAUGCAAGUCGAGCGAGUCGUGUAGCAAUACAUAGGCGAGCGGCGAACGGGUGAGUAACGCGUGAAUAACCUACCCUUCAAUUGGGAACAACCGUGCUAACGCGCGGCUAAUGCCGAAUAUACCGGUUAAGCGACAUCGCUUAUUGGGGAAAGAUUAAUUGUUGGAGGAUGGAUUCGCGUCCGAUUAGGUAGUUGGCGGAGUAACGGCCCACCAAGCCUACGAUCGGUAGCCGGCCUGAGAGGGCGAACGGCCACAUUGGGACUGAGAUACGGUCCAGACUCCUACGGGAGGCAGCAGUGGGGAAUAUUGCGCAAUGGGGGCAACCCUGACGCAGCGACGCCACGUGUGGGAUGACGCAUUUAGGUGUGUAAACCACUGUCGUGAGGGAAUAGAGGCGGACUUCGGUUCGCAGGAAUGUACCUCGAAAGGAAGCACCGGCAAACUUCGUGCCAGCAGCCGCGGUAAUACGAGGGGUGCGAGCGUUGUUCGGAAUCACUGGGCGUAAAGGGAGCGUAGGCGGACUUUCAAGCCGGGCGUGCAAAACCGAAGCCCAACUUCGGCAUUGCGCUCGGGACUGAUAGUCUUGGAUAGUUCAGAGGCAAGCGGAAUUCCUAGUGGAGCGGUGGAAUGCGUAGAUAUUAGGAAGAACACCGGAGGCGAAGGCGGCUUGCUGGGGACGAAUCGACGCUGCAGCUCGAAAGCGCGGGUAGCAAACAGGAUUAGAUACCCUGGUAGUCCGCGCCGUAAACGAUGUAUGCUUGGCGCACGAGGUUCAAAUCUUGUGUGCCGUAGCCAACGCGAUAAGCAUACCGCCUGGGGAGUACGCCCGCAAGGGUGAAACUCAAAGGAAUUGACGGGGGCCCGCACAAGCGGUGGAGCAUGUGGUUUAAUUCGACGCAACGCGCAGAACCUUACCAAGGUUUGACAUGGGAAAGACGAUAUCAGAGAUGGUAUUUCCAUAGCAAUAUGGCUUUCUACACAGGUGCUGCAUGGCUGUCGUCAGCUCGUGUCGUGAGAUGUUGGGUUAAGUCCCGCAACGAGCGCAACCCGUGCCCUCGGUUGCCAAUAUGGCUCUCCGGGGGGACUGCCGGGGACAACCCGGAGGAAGGUGGGGAUGACGUCAAGUCAUCAUGGCCCUUACGACCAGGGCUACACACGUGCUACAAUGGGCGGCACAGAGGGAAGCAAAAUCGCGAGAUUGAGCGGAUCCUAAAAGCCGCCCCCAGUUCGGAUAGGAGUCUGCAACCCGACUCCUUGAAGCCGGAAUCGCUAGUAAUCGCGGAUCAGAACGCCGCGGUGAAUACGUUCCCGGGCCUUGUACACACCGCCCGUCAAGCCAUGGGAGAAGAGAGCGCUCCAAGACGUGCAGCUAACCGGUAACGGAGCGGGCGUCCAAAGCGAGAUUUUUGACUGGGGCUAAGUCGUAACAAGGUAGCCGUACCGGAAGGUGCGGCUGGAUUACCUCCUUU